Molecule: transfer RNA, 73 nt
Filed under: Stegodyphus mimosarum
Lineage: Eukaryota; Metazoa; Arthropoda; Arachnida; Araneae; Eresidae
Rfam family: tRNA
About the family: Transfer RNA (tRNA) molecules are approximately 80 nucleotides in length.
Source: Rfam by way of RNAcentral
GCCUUCGUGGUGUAAUGGUCAACACACUCGGCGCCUAUUCGAGAGUUCCGAGGUUCGAGUCCCUUCGAAGGCA